AAAAGUUGUCACCGCAGGGCUUACUGUGAUAACUCUGUAGGUAUUCGUUCGACAGUAGAUUAAUGAACAACCUGAAAUGAAAGCCUUCAACCUGGUGAUUAGCCUAGUCGUGAUUAGCGUGGUGGUGAUUAUUAUCCCACCGUGCGGGGCAGCACUUGGACGAAGAAUGGCUUAGAAAUCAAGGCCGAAUUCAAGAAAACCCCCGCACCGAAAGGUCGGGGGUUUUUUUAUGGGCCGGCAAUCGCAACAAGGGAGCAGACAAUGUCGAUUAGCAUAAAAUCCUGUUUUCCCCAGAUAGA
This is a regulatory RNA element of Dickeya dadantii 3937, 299 nucleotides long. It matches the Rfam family "Soft rot Enterobacteriaceae Rev 39 5'UTR". Rfam says of the family: From bacteria cultured under starvation conditions. The record is from Rfam. Lineage: Bacteria; Pseudomonadati; Pseudomonadota; Gammaproteobacteria; Enterobacterales; Pectobacteriaceae.